UUUGUCCUACGGGGGCGCAGCAGUGGGGAAUAUUGCACAAUGGGCGAAAGCCCGAUGCAGCAACGCCGCGUGAGCGAUGAAGGCCUUCGGGUCGUAAAGCUCUGUCCUCAAGGAAGAUAAUGACGGUACUUGAGGAGGAAGCCCCGGCUAACUACGUGCCAGCAGCCGCGGUAAUACGUAGGGGGCUAGCGUUAUCCGGAAUGAUUGGGCGUAAAGGGUGCGCAGGCGGUCCUGCAAGUCUGGAGUGAAACGC
Molecule: ribosomal RNA, 253 nt
Filed under: uncultured bacterium
Lineage: Bacteria
Description: partial 16S ribosomal RNA
Rfam family: Bacterial small subunit ribosomal RNA
Source: RNAcentral